GCUACGGGAGGCUGCAGUGAGGAAUAUUGGUCAAUGGACGCAAGUCUGAACCAGCCAUGCCGCGUGCAGGAAGACGGCUCUAUGAGUUGUAAACUGCUUUUGUACGAGGGUAAAUCCCGCUACGUGUAUCGGGUUGAAAGUAUCGUACGAAUAAGGAUCGGCUAACUCCGUGCCAGCAGCCGCGGUAAUACGGAGGAUUCAAGCGUUAUCCGGUUUUAUUGGGUUUAAAGGGUGCGGAGGGGGUCUGUUAAGUCAGCGGUCAAAGCCCGGGGCUCACCCCCGGCCCGCCGUUGAAACUGGCAGUCUCGAGUUGGAGAGAAGUAUGCGGAAUGCGCGGUGUAGCGGUGAAAUGCAUAGAUAUCGCGCAGAACUCCGAUUGCGAGGGCAGCAUGCCGGCUCCACACUGACGCUGAGGCACGAAAGCGUGGGUAUCGAACAGGAUUAGAUACCCCUGUAGUC
Molecule: ribosomal RNA, 459 nt
Filed under: uncultured bacterium
Lineage: Bacteria
Description: partial 16S ribosomal RNA
Rfam family: Bacterial small subunit ribosomal RNA
Source: RNAcentral